AAAUUGAAGAGUUUGAUCAUGGCUCAGAUUGAACGCUGGCGGCAGGCCUAACACAUGCAAGUCGAACGGUAACAGGAAGCAGCUUGCUGCUUUGCUGACGAGUGGCGGACGGGUGAGUAAUGUCUGGGAAACUGCCUGAUGGAGGGGAUAACUACGUGGAAACGGUGGCUAAUACCGCAUAACG
Molecule: ribosomal RNA, 184 nt
Filed under: Salmonella enterica subsp. enterica serovar Kentucky str. 29439
Lineage: Bacteria; Pseudomonadati; Pseudomonadota; Gammaproteobacteria; Enterobacterales; Enterobacteriaceae
Description: partial 16S ribosomal RNA
Rfam family: Bacterial small subunit ribosomal RNA
Source: RNAcentral